RNAcentral lists this ribosomal RNA (384 nucleotides) under Oligosoma maccanni. RNAcentral describes it as "partial 12S ribosomal RNA". It matches the Rfam family "Bacterial small subunit ribosomal RNA", at positions 794 to 1384 of the family's 1533-position model. The record is from RNAcentral. Lineage: Eukaryota; Metazoa; Chordata; Lepidosauria; Squamata; Scincidae.
GCUCAGCCGUAAACAAAAACAGUAAAAAUACAGUACUGUUCGCCAGAGAACUACAAGCUAAAACUCAAAACUCCAAGGACUUGGCGGUGCUCCACACCGACCUAGAGGAGCCUGUCCUAUAAUCGAUACCCCCCGAUCCACCUCACCAUUUUUUGAAAUUCAGCCUAUAUACCGCCGUCGCCAGCCUACCUUGUGAAAGGAGCAAAGUAAGCAAAAUAGUCAUCAACUAAAACGUCAGGUCAAGGUGUAGCAUAUAAAAUGGAAGAGAUGGGCUACACUCUCUCCCCCAGAGAACACGAACAGCAUCAAUGAAACACUGCUUGAAGGUGGAUUUAGUAGUAAGAUAGACAAGAGAGCUUAUCUUAAACCAGCCCUGGAGCGCGC